This 1107-nucleotide long non-coding RNA is filed under the name Helianthus annuus (common sunflower). Lineage: Eukaryota; Viridiplantae; Streptophyta; Magnoliopsida; Asterales; Asteraceae. The record is from RNAcentral.
UCUGCUCAAUCGUCUCUCGGAAUCACUUAAAUCACUGAUAUGGCUUCAUCUGAUUCAUGAAAUUAAGAGGGCUUCAAAUGCGCUCAUUGGGGCGUGUGCACAAAAGUUUGAUUUAUCCGAUUAUGUAUGACGCAAGCUAUAAUUUAGGAUGCUAAAAGGCAAAAGGCGACAGACCCCGUUCACGCAUGCGAAGACCACUGAUCCACCGCCAUCCAUUGACUGGAGGACAAAUGGAGCCGUCAACCCUAUGAAGAACCAAGGCCGAUGUGGUAGUUGUUGGACGUUUUCAACCAUAGUUGGGGUGGUGGGAACAACUAAUUAACCGAAUCCAACACAUCCCGGUCCUGAUGAAAAACAAACACUACCACCAGUCAACCAUCGUAAGAAAAGGAAAACCCCAGCUGUAACGAAACCAUCUGUCAGUGAGUAUGACCCCCAGUGGAUUCCCCAACGACUUUCUGAUGUUAAACGGGUCGAAUUCAAUGGGUCGUCCAAGAAAAAAAAGGCUAAGAAAGUUGCUGAAAUGAACAUUGAUUCUUUAAAGGCUGUUGGAAAUGGAAGUAUCUUUAAACUGCGUGGUUUGGAGCAGAAUGUGACAGUUCGAGGAAAACAAUCUACUACUAGAAAGUAGAAAUCACACGCACAGUAAUCUAGGCUGGGAUUAACUUAAAUAAGCACAUUAUUUUUGACGGGUCCAACUCUGGUAGCACUGGAUGGAAGUGGAAAAGUAGAGGGAAGUUUGUUUAUUUUUCUGUUAAACAGGUGAGGAGCGACUUGGAGGUGUGUGGGCAGCCGAAUAUCCAACGCCAACAGUUCAAAUGCAAUAAUAAGCUCGCAGUCCCGAAGGUCAAUUUUUUUGUGAGGAGGGCCAUUAACGGCAAUAUCCCGACUGCUACGGCAUUGGCGACUAGAGGAGGGCAGAUUGGGGACGAGAACAUAGAACACUAGAUCAUGAUAUUGACUUAUAUAUGUUUUUUAUAUUGUUUUAUGGUUUGAAUUAUGCUCCUGCCCCUUAUUGUCGACUUCUCAGUAACGCGCGGGUUACCCACUAUUCAAUUAACGAGGUCAUGAUACUUACAAUUAAUUAUUAAAUCAAUAACACAUUUA